RNAcentral lists this transfer RNA (85 nucleotides) under Felis catus (domestic cat). It matches the Rfam family "tRNA". From Rfam's summary of the family: Transfer RNA (tRNA) molecules are approximately 80 nucleotides in length. The record is from Rfam by way of RNAcentral. Lineage: Eukaryota; Metazoa; Chordata; Mammalia; Carnivora; Felidae.
GCCUGGGUGGCUCAGUCGGUUAAGUGUCUGACUUCAGCUCAGGUCAUGAUCUCACGGUUUGUGGGUUUGAGCCCCACAUCAGGCU